UACGUAGGAGGCGAGCGUUGUCCGGAAUUACUGGGCGUAAAGAGCGCGUAGGCGGCACAGUACGACCGAUGUGAAAGCCCCCGGCUCAACCGGGGAGGGUCAACGGUAACGGCUGAGCUGUGAGUGCAGGAGAGGGAAGUGGAACUCCGGGAGUAGCGGUGAAAUGCGUAGAGACCCGGAGGAACACCAGUGGCGAAGGCGGCUUCCUGGUCUGUAACUGACGCUGAGGCGCGAAAGCUAGGGGAGCAAACGGG
This 254-nucleotide ribosomal RNA is filed under the name uncultured bacterium. RNAcentral describes it as "partial 16S ribosomal RNA". It matches the Rfam family "Bacterial small subunit ribosomal RNA", at positions 524 to 776 of the family's 1533-position model. The record is from RNAcentral.